AUGAACGCUGGCGGCGUGCCUAAUGCAUGCCAGUCGAGCGAACAGAUGAGGAGCUUGCUCCUCUGACGUUAGCGGCGGACGGGUGAGUAACACGUGGAUAACCUACCUAUAAGACUGGGAUAACUUCGGGAAACCGGAGCUAAUACCGGAUAAUAUAUUGAACCGCAUGGUUCAAUAGUGAAAGACGGUUUUGCUGUCACUUAUAGAUGGAUCCGCGCCGCAUUAGCUAGUUGGUAAGGUAACGGCUUACCAAGGCAACGAUGCGUAGCCGACCUGAGAGGGUGAUCGGCCACACUGGAACUGAGACACGGUCCAGACUCCUACGGGAGGCAGCAGUAGGGAAUCUUCCGCAAUGGGCGAAAGCCUGACGGAGCAACGCCGCGUGAGUGAUGAAGGUCUUCGGAUCGUAAAACUCUGUUAUUAGGGAAGAACAAAUGUGUAAGUAACUAUGCACGUCUUGACGGUACCUAAUCAGAAAGCCACGGCUAACUACGUG
Molecule: ribosomal RNA, 496 nt
Filed under: uncultured bacterium
Lineage: Bacteria
Description: partial 16S ribosomal RNA
Rfam family: Bacterial small subunit ribosomal RNA
Source: RNAcentral